This 446-nucleotide ribosomal RNA is filed under the name uncultured bacterium. RNAcentral's name for it is "bacterial SSU rRNA". It matches the Rfam family "Bacterial small subunit ribosomal RNA", at positions 29 to 521 of the family's 1533-position model. The record is from RNAcentral.
AACGAACGCUGGCGGCAUGCCUAACACAUGCAAGUCGAACGAGACCUUCGGGUCUAGUGGCGCACGGGUGCGUAACGCGUGGGAAUCUGCCCUAGGGUGCGGAAUAACUCGGAGAAAUCCGUGCUAAUACCGCAUAAUGUCUUCGGACCAAAGAUUUAUCGCCCUGGGAUGAGCCCGCGUAGGAUUAGCUAGUUGGUGGGUAAAGGCCUACCAAGGCGACGAUCCUUAGCUGGUCUGAGAGGAUGAUCAGCCACACUGGGACUGAGACACGGCCCAGACUCCUACGGGAGGCAGCAGUGGGGAAUAUUGGACAAUGGGCGAAAGCCUGAUCCAGCAAUGCCGCGUGAGUGAUGAAGGCCCUAGGGUUGUAAAGCUCUUUUACCCGGGAUGAUAAUGACAGUACCGGGAGAAUAAGCUCCGGCUAACUCCGUGCCAGCAGCCGCGGU